UACAGAGGUCUCAAGCGUUGUUCGGAUUCAUUGGGCGUAAAGGGUGCGUAGGUGGCGCCGUAAGUCAGGUGUGAAAUUUCGGAGCUUAACUCCGAAACUGCAUUUGAUACUGCGGUGCUUGAGGACUGGAGAGGAGACUGGAAUUCACGGUGUAGCAGUGAAAUGCGUAGAUAUCAGGAGGAAUACCGAUGGCGAAGGCAGGUCUCUGGGCUGAUACUGAUACUGAGGUGCGAAGGUAUGGGGAGCGAAUAGG
RNAcentral lists this ribosomal RNA (253 nucleotides) under uncultured bacterium. RNAcentral's name for it is "partial 16S ribosomal RNA". It matches the Rfam family "Bacterial small subunit ribosomal RNA", at positions 524 to 776 of the family's 1533-position model. The record is from RNAcentral.